Molecule: ribosomal RNA, 253 nt
Filed under: uncultured bacterium
Lineage: Bacteria
Description: partial 16S ribosomal RNA
Rfam family: Bacterial small subunit ribosomal RNA
Source: RNAcentral
GACGAACCGAGCGAACGUUGUUCGGAGUCACUGGGCUUAAAGGGCGCGUAGGCGGGUUCGCAAGUCUGUGGUGAAAUCCUCCGGCUCAACCGGAGAACUGCCUCGGAAACUGCGAGUCUCGAGGGUGGCAGGGGUAUGCGGAACUAUCGGUGGAGCGGUGAAAUGCGUUGAUAUCGAUAGGAACUCCGGUGGCGAAGGCGGCAUACUGGUCCACUUCUGACGCUGAGGCGCGAAAGCCAGGGGAGCAAACGGG